Molecule: long non-coding RNA, 549 nt
Organism: Mauremys mutica (yellowpond turtle)
Lineage: Eukaryota; Metazoa; Chordata; Testudines; Geoemydidae
Exons: 3
Source: RefSeq, a predicted model, not a curated record
GACGUCGGGGACUUGACAUGGGCUUUGUUGUUGUUUUGUUUUCUUUGCAAAGGCGGAGGAACGAUCCCCGUCCGCGGGAGGAAGAGGAGGGGCGGGCUCCUGCCCGUCCCGCCUGCUGCAACUCUGCCAAGAUACUAUGGAGAGAGGUGCUUUAAGAAAUACACAAUUGGUUAAUACAGAUAAGCUUCCGAGCAGAGGGACUAACAGACAAAGAAAGGAUUGUUGGAUAAAUAGCCUGGCUCAGGGUCUUCUUCCUCAUCCAAAAAAUGAACAGGACCUUUGAUCCAUGGAGAGCCCCAAUCCGUAGGGUAGGCUUGGAAGGACUGAACCGACUGAGUACUUGUUCUCAGCUGAAGCUGUGAUGAACUUGUGACCACAAAGAAAAUUCCUUGGGUGCAGUGUUGAAGGAUUACUCCUGCUAGAACCCCUAUUAGAGCUGGGAUGACAUCUGGUGAGCUUAUUAGCAAGUGUGUAGGGUUUUUAAUUGUAUUUAAUAUGUUUUCUCUGUAGUGCUUUUACCCUAAUAAUAAAAUUAGUCUUGCAUAAAAA